This 775-nucleotide ribosomal RNA is filed under the name uncultured Neocallimastigales. RNAcentral's name for it is "partial large subunit ribosomal RNA". It matches the Rfam family "Eukaryotic large subunit ribosomal RNA", at positions 23 to 646 of the family's 3401-position model. Lineage: Eukaryota; Fungi; Neocallimastigomycota; Neocallimastigomycetes; Neocallimastigales. The record is from RNAcentral.
GAGACUCUGUGCGCGUGCAUAUCAAUAAGCGGAGGAAAAGAAACUAACAAGGAUUCCCUUAGUAACGGCGAGUGAAGCGGGAAGAGCUCAAAUUUGAAAUCUUCGAGGUUCUACCUUGACGAAUUGUAGUUUAUAGAAGUGUUUUCUGUUGAAGUUUUGGUAAAAGUUCUUUGGAAUAGGACAUCAUAGAGGGUGAGAAUCCCGUAUUUGGUCAUUCUUUCUAGCUUUGUGAUACACUUUCAACGAGUCGGAUUGUUUGGGAUUGCAGUCAAAAAUGGGUGGUAAAUUUCAUCUAAAGCUAAAUAUUGGCGAGAGACCGAUAGCGAACAAGUACCGUGAGGGAAAGAUGAAAAGAACUUUGAAAAGAGAGUUAAACAGUACGUGAAAUUGUCAAAAGGGAAGCGUUUGACACCAGUGUUGUUUAGUUGAAAAUCAAUUCAAUAAUUUUUGAUUCUGAGUAGUAUUGACUUCAUCAGCUUGCUGCUUUCUUUCUCAGAAAUUAUUGAAUGCACUUUUCAGUUAACAAGUCAACAUCAAUUUCUUUUGUUGUAAAAGGGUAAGAGGAAGGUGGCUUACGCUUCGGCGUAAGUGUUUAUAGCCUUUUACCUCUGCAAUCGGAGAGAUUGAGGACAGCAGCGUAGACUCUUCGGGGUUAGAUACACUUGUGCUAAGCUAUAGCCUUGUAUAGACAACUUGUUGACUAUGCUCAGUCAUGUAGCUUACUCGCUUGUGCUAUUUUACCUACGCUUAGGAUGUUGAUCUGUAGUGCGUGCGC